This 455-nucleotide ribosomal RNA is filed under the name uncultured bacterium. RNAcentral describes it as "bacterial SSU rRNA". It matches the Rfam family "Bacterial small subunit ribosomal RNA", at positions 28 to 507 of the family's 1533-position model. The record is from RNAcentral.
GACGAACGCUGGCGGCGUGCUUAACACAUGCAAGUCGAACGGGAGUAUCGAAGAAGCUUGCUUUAGAGAUACUUUAGUGGCGGACGGGUGAGUAACGCGUGAGGAGCUGUCCAAUGCAGGGGGACAACAGUUGGAAACGACUGAUAAUACCCCAUAAGCCGAGAGGUAAAAGGAUUUAUCCGGCAAUGGAGGUACUCGCGUCCUAUCAGCUAGUAGGUGAGGUAACGGCUCACCUAGGCGAAGACGGGUAGCCGGCCUGAGAGGGCGAACGGCCACACUGGAACUGAGAUACGGUCCAGACUCCUACGGGAGGCAGCAGUGGGGAAUAUUGGGCAAUGGGGGGAACCCUGACCCAGCGACGCCGCGUGGGUGAAGAAAUCCUUCGGGAUGUAAAGCCCUGUUGUAUGGGAAGAGCGGAAGACGGUACCAUACGAGGAAGCCCCGGAAACUACGUG